UACGUAGGGGGCAAGCGUUGUCCGGAUUUAUUGGGCGUAAAGAGCGUGUAGGCGGCCAUGUAGGUCCGUUGUGAAAACUCGAGGCUCAACCUCGAGACGCCGAUGGAAACCAUGUGGCUAGAGUCCGGAAGAGGCGAGUGGAAUUCCUGGUGUAGCGGUGGAAUGCGCAGAUAUCAGGAGGAACACCAAUAGCGAAGGCAGCUCGCUGGGACGGUACUGACGCUAAGGCGCGAAAGCGUGGGGAGCGAACAGG
Molecule: ribosomal RNA, 253 nt
Filed under: uncultured bacterium
Lineage: Bacteria
Description: partial 16S ribosomal RNA
Rfam family: Bacterial small subunit ribosomal RNA
Source: RNAcentral